GGGCUCCGGACCGUAGAGUAGAGAGAGGGGGCUAGGGAAAGAAGAGGUGGAGGCCGGCGGCGGUGUCGGUCCGGCCGCACCCCGCGCGGUGGUCGAGGUGGUCGCGGUAGGGAGGUGAAGCGGCAGCGCGCAGGGUAGUCUGUGCUCCUGUGCCCGCAGACUUGGAGGCGCACUCGCGAGGAGGGGCGAGUAAGAGAAAAGAGAGUGGCGGGGGACGAAGAAAGGAGGUGAGGAGGUAGCGAGACGUCGAAGAGAAAGGGAACGGAGCGUCGACUGGGAGAAGAGUUAGAGACGACGAGGAGAGGUAGAGCUUUGACGAUGGAGAGAGAACGACGAGGGCAAGACGACGAGGAGAACGACGACGACGAACACGCGACGUCGACGUGGAAGAAGAGGACGGAUGACGAAGAAGAAGAAGGGACACAGUGAAGACGACGAGGACGAGAAGAGACGGAGCGGUGAUAAGAAGAAUGUACUUGGAGUUUUGACGACGACGAGAGAAAGAAAGAGAAAGAGAGUGAGAAAGAUACACACACACACAUCAACAACUAUCAAUGAUGACCUACGAUCUGGUUAAUGUAAGUUUAGUCGUAAUCGAGAGAUACACAGACAUUCAAUCAAUCACAUGACAAGACAAGACUUUUCCACUUUGAACACAUGACAAAACUUGUGGAUUAAAGACAUUUUAAUUCUAUACAUUAUGGAAUAUUCCAAGUCUAAAAUCAAGACAAAGCAUGAACGUCGAUAUCACGUCCUAAAUAUAUACCAGAUACACUAAAACGAAGGUUCAAUAAAGAGAUAUGAUCAAUUAAAAGAUAAACAAACUACAAGUCGAGAACACGAGAAACAGUUCACUCUGCACAUUUAAGCUGUAAAAGAUCAUGGACACAAUCGAGGUUCAUGGACACUAUAUAUAUGUAUACACACACAGACACUACACUAUGUAAAUACAAGACAGGACGUUAGAACAAAGAAGGGAGACAAGUACAAGCUAUAAAUAUAAACACAGGAACAGUACAAUGUAAGUACAGGAAAGUGAAGAGAACAGUAACUACAUACGAGCAUAAUCAUAAAAUUAAAGAGUUCGUAAUGCCUUUAUGGUUUUUCUGUUACUCAUUUUAGACUUAGAGGUACACGAGAAACGUAAAAGAAACAGCUGCUAGUAACCUUGUUGGAACAAAUCACAUCCAAAUAAAAGAACGAAAGUAUUAGACUUAACACAAUGGAUCGAAAUCGGUUCGUGCUAGUAGCUAAACGGAUCAGGGACUCCUCUUGUGCUGUAGGCAUCAAACCCGCGUUUUUGGGACGAUAUAAUAUUAACUAGUAAAACCGCGGCAACGGUCCCUGAUCGCAGCUCGCUAAUACAAUCGAUAUCUGAUCCAAAUAAAAUCAAAGUACAAAUUAAGUAGCACAUAAAGAAAAAGACACAAAGAAAAUAUAUAAAAAAGGAACAACAACUGAUCAUAAAUGACAAAUACUCACACGCAUCCUUUAGACUAGAUAAACGUCCAACUAACUAUCAAUGUGAACCACCUCUAUACCGCUACGAAGCACUACAAACCUACGGUUCGUCGGUUACGAUAAAGUGUCCCGGUGAAACCGGCAGAAAACUCCGUCUUUUAAAACUCGAUUUCGGACCAGAAUAACGAAACCAAGUUGUUGUUGUCAAACCUCCAGACGAGUGACUCCUAGGGAUACUCGUGAAUAUGGCUCAGUACCUCAUAAGUCCAUGUCAGUUCAUGGUACCUCAAGGAGUUCUACGAUAGUUCACGUACGACAAGAGUAAGAGAGAGACCCUACUACGAGCACGAACCAUAGCUAGGAACGGUAGUUCUAGUAAGUCAACCUUGCUCUAUAGUGUUCGAAAGAACCUAUUUAUAAAGGGUGAUGUAUUCAUCAGGCGUUAAGCUCUACUCUAGGAGUCGAAGCAAGUCGCACUUCCGCUCUCGAACAUACUACGAACCCUCUCUAUGUUCCGAAAUAAGUCCUCUACAGGAUUGGUGCCCGAGCUCUCUACCAAUCUCGACGUUUAUAAGAUAUCUCCUAACUGAAGCUUGUGAGCUCGAAUACAGCUAUACCGUCGCCACCUCGAUAAUGUUUGUUCUGUGAACUACUUCGAAAAGACGACUAACUCUCGUAUCGAAAGGUGGUUGAAGUCACCAUGUUAUUCUUCGGGUGCAGACUAAGUAACCAAACGAACGUUGUUUAGUGAUGUGGGGUCGGUGGUUAAGAAUGUGUCUUGGGACUUGGAGAUAGAGUCACACUGUUCUAACUCGAACGUACCUAAUAGAAACUGCUACUACUGUGGUAAGAUCAACUGUGUGUGCGAUGUCUAGUAUACCUAUGAUCACAACCUCUAAGCCAAAACGUAACACUACUAAGAAGGUACCUACUCGGUCUCGACGUCAAUCAACAAAAACUAUAACUCCUCAGUGGAAAUCAACUAUAACUAGUACACGACGAUCUCGGUCUAUACCUCUUCAAGUGGAAGCUACUACAAUCGGCGUAACGAAGGAGUUGUGAACUCGGACUCUACCUCUCGAAGUACCAACUCAUACCACUCCACCUAAGUCUACAGUUCCUCGGUUCGAGAUGAUAAAGUGAACAACUGUGCUCAGGCCAACUUUAAAGAUGAUGGUGUGGAGUGAACCAUAGAAGUUAACUCCAUCAAGACUUCGAAGAAGGAUUGAUAGAGUUCAUACUAGAAUCGAAAGACCUGUUCUGUACAGUAUAGCGACUAUAACGGAUACGGGGUACACUGAACAACAACUAUGUACAAGGACUAAACUAGUUAUCUAUAUGAAUAUACUAUCCCAUGAGAUAGCUACUGAAUCUCCCGUAAGAGAGACAGUGAACAUAACCGAACCAACAACUCACACGAAAGUCCAAAAACGAACACGUGCUAGGUAAUGUACGACUGGUCCAAGCUCCACUGUAAGGAACCCUGGGACCACCUGAGUCUCGUACCCCUACUCCUCUUCGUUCCCCCGUGUGAGCUCCUUCCCUCUUCGACCUCGUCCGUACUCCUAUCUCUUCGUUUUCCUCUUCUCGACGUCAACCACUCCACUAGCUCGCUCACGAUGUACUAGUUUCGGGCCACUCGACAAAGUACUGGGUAAGGCUUAUAUAGUAGGUAACUAUGUACGACUUUAGUUUACAAUAAACCCAACGAAUUCGGUACAGAAUUUACAACGGGGUGACUUAAAAUGAACUGUAUACCACGAACUACUCUUAUACACUUGACUCACAACUUACAGACCAUUUGAUCACUAGAUAUGUUACGAACGAAACGACUUUCAUCACCUUCAAUAAUCAAAACUCACGAGUUUAGGGAUCAUAUGAUCUUUUGAAUUAGUAAAAGACGAAAAUGGAGCUAUGUGGAUCUAGUGGUACAAAUCUACAACUUAAACACGAUUCACACAAGGGUAACUCUCGUUAGUGGAUUGGUGAUACCUAAUCGUACGAUACAAGGGAUCUAGCCAUCGUACACUUGGUCUGUACCUCUUCACUACUAAGGAUAAAAACACGAAUACACAACAAGUAAAUUCUAUUCAUUAUUACUUAUUUAUUCAGACUGAUGGAUGUCAUCGUACAGUACAAGGGCCCUAGCCACCGUACACUUUAGCCCAAUCGAACCCGUCAUUAAUUAUUAUUUUUUUACAUUAACAGCUUGGUCCACAUAUGGUACAAGAGCCCUAGUCACCAUACAAGGAAACCCCUCUGUUUGUUUUUUUGAUUAUUAACCAGCUCGGUCCACAUAUGGAACAAGAGCCCUAGCCACCAUACAAGGAUACCACUCUGAUUAUUAUUAUAUUAGUAACGAAAUAGAGACAUUUAUUCACUAAACUAGUGUUCUAAAUUAAGGUCAAGUAAAACAAGAACCCUAGUACGAGAGAAAUCCUUGGUAAACCGUAUCAGUAGUAAAUUUGAACAACUAGGAGAAAAUAGUGACAUUUUCAAAUUUUACCAGCACGAAUGAUCAUAGGAUGACGAAACAUCGUCAGGAUUGGUAAUUAAAAGUGAUCGAUUCAGACUUCGUACGGAACAAACCUCUAGAUAAAAUGGUCCUGUAAGGAAUGAGUCAAAUGACAAGUAAUAGAACGGAAACAGUAUAAGGAAACGAACUCCUGUUCGUUUCUAAAUUCACACCCCCUUGAACUAUUCAUAUAAAGUGUAUAUGUUUAAACCGUGAGUUUAAAUCGUAGAUAGCACUAUAUAGGUAGGUAAGAACGAUACUCAACACUAUAUAAACUUACUUUUAGUAUAUUUUCUAGUAAAUGAACAGUAAACAAAGAAAACAUCUUUUCACGCGUUCCGUGAUAUUAGCAGUUCUAAAGAUGAUACACCGAUUGCUCUUCUCUCUUCCCGUACACACACUGCUGUUCUUCAUUGGUUUCCCCGAUUGAUAUCUUCUCUCCCCUAGAUGAACCCUUCCUUCUUCUAUCAUCCUCCCGGGUACACGUUUGUAGUUUUAGAUGUCACUCCCCUAGUUUUAGGGAUCCAGUGAUGUGUUAAGGGGCUCCAGACCGUAGAGUAGGAGAGGGGGCUAGGGAAAGAAGAGGUGGAGGCCGGCGGCGGUGUCGGUCCGGCCGCACCCCGCGCGGUGGUCGAGGUGGUCGCGGUAGGGAGGUGAAGCGGCAGCGCGCAGGGUAGUCUGUGCUCCUGCGCCCGCAGACUUGGAGGCGCACUCGCGAGGAGGGGCGAGGAAGAGAAAAGAGAGUGGCGGGGGACGAAGAAAGGAGGUGAGGAGGUAGCGAGACGUCGAAGGGGAAGGGAACGGAGCGUCGACUGGGAGAAGAGUUAGAGACGACGAGGAGAGGUAGAGCUUUGACGAUGGAGAGAGAACGACGAGGGCAAGACGAAGAGGAGAACGACGACGACGAACACGCGACGUCGAUGUGGAAGAAGAGGACGGAUGACGAAGAAGAAGAAGGGACGCAGUGAAGACGACGAGGACGAGAAGAGACGGAGCGGUGAUAAGAAGAAUGUACUUGGAGUUUUGUCGACGACGAGAGAAAGAAAGAGAAAGAGAGUGAGAAAGAUACACACACACAUCAACGUCUAUCAAUGAUGACCUACGAUCUGGUUAAUGUAAGUUUAGUCGUAAUCGAGAGAUACACAGACAUUCAGUCAAUCACAUGACAAGACAAGACUUUUCCACUUUGAACACAUGAUAAGACUUGUGGAUUAAAGACAUUUUAAUUCUAUACAUUAUGGAUCAUUCCAAGUCUAAAAUCAAGACAAAGCAUGAACGUCGAUAUCACGUCCUAAUUAUAUACCAGAUACACUAAAACGAAGGUUCAAUAAAGAGACAUGAUCAAUUAAAAGAUAAAAAAACUACAAGUCGAGAACACGAGAAACAGUUCACUCUGCACAUUUAAGCUGUAAAAGAUCAUGGACACAAUCGAGGUUCAUGGACACUAUAUAUAUGUAUACACACACAGACACUACACUAUGUAAAUACAAGACAGGACGUUAGAACAAAGAAG
This 5489-nucleotide ribosomal RNA is filed under the name Triticum aestivum (bread wheat). RNAcentral describes it as "partial small subunit ribosomal RNA". The record is from RNAcentral. Lineage: Eukaryota; Viridiplantae; Streptophyta; Magnoliopsida; Poales; Poaceae.